This 350-nucleotide ribosomal RNA is filed under the name uncultured Streptococcus sp. RNAcentral describes it as "bacterial SSU rRNA". It matches the Rfam family "Bacterial small subunit ribosomal RNA", at positions 1029 to 1382 of the family's 1533-position model. The record is from RNAcentral. Lineage: Bacteria; Bacillati; Bacillota; Bacilli; Lactobacillales; Streptococcaceae.
CGGUGACAGGUGGUGCAUUGGUUGUCGUCAGCUCGUGUCGUGAGAUGUUGGUUAAGUCCCGCAACGAGCGCAACCCCUAUUGUUAGUUUGCCAUCAUUCAGUUGGGCACUCUAGCGAGACUGCCGGUAAUAACCGGAGGAAGUGGGAUGACGUCAAAUCAUCAUGCCCCUUAUGACCUGGGCUACACACGUGCUACAAUGGUUGGUACAACGAGUUGCGAGUCGGUGACGGCGAGCUAAUCUCUUAAAGCCAAUCUCAGUUCGGAUUGUAGGCUGCAACUCGCCUACAUGAAGUCGGAAUCGCUAGUAAUCGCGGAUCAGCACGCCGCGGUGAAUACGUUCCCGGGCCUU